CUACGGGAGGCUGCAGUGGGGAAUAUUGCACAAUGGGCGCAAGCCUGAUGCAGCAACGCCGCGUGAACGAUGAAGGCCUUCGGGUUGUAAAGUUCUUUUCUUAGGGAAGAAUAAAUGACGGUACCUAAGGAAUCAGCCCCGGCUAACUACGUGCCAGCAGCCGCGGUAAUACGUAGGGGGCAAGCGUUAUCCGGAAUCACUGGGCGUAAAGGGAGUGUAGGCGGUCAAGCAAGUCAGGGGUGAAAGGCAUCGGCUCAACCGAUGUAAGCCUUUGAAACUGUUUGACUUGAGUGCAGGAGAGGUAAGUGGAAUUCCUAGUGUAGCGGUGAAAUGCGUAGAUAUUAGGAGGAACACCAGUGGCGAAGGCGACUUACUGGACUGUAACUGACGCUGAGGCUCGAAAGCGUGGGGAGCGAACAGGAUUAGAUACCCUAGUAGUC
RNAcentral lists this ribosomal RNA (440 nucleotides) under uncultured bacterium. RNAcentral describes it as "partial 16S ribosomal RNA". It matches the Rfam family "Bacterial small subunit ribosomal RNA", at positions 339 to 795 of the family's 1533-position model. The record is from RNAcentral.